This 253-nucleotide ribosomal RNA is filed under the name uncultured bacterium. RNAcentral's name for it is "partial 16S ribosomal RNA". It matches the Rfam family "Bacterial small subunit ribosomal RNA", at positions 524 to 776 of the family's 1533-position model. The record is from RNAcentral.
GACGUAGGGCGCGAGCGUUGUCCGGAUUUAUUGGGCGUAAAGAGCUCGUAGGCGGUUUGUCGCGUCGUCCGUGAAAACUCACAGCUUAACUGUGAGCUUGCGGUCGAUACGGGCAGGCUAGAGUACGGCAGGGGAGACUGGAAUUCCUGGUGUAGCGGUGAAAUGCGCAGAUAUCAGGAGGAACACCGGUGGCGAAGGCGGGUCUCUGGGCCGAAACUGACGCUGAGGAGCGAAAGCGUGGGGAGCGAACAGG